GGUCUUUUUAACCAGGUUUUCCGAAGGAAAAAACUGGUUAUUAGAUUGGCGAAUGCGGGCGGCUGGCUGGCUGGCGGGCGGGCGGAACAAGCUUGUCCGGGCCAUAACUAUGUCGUUCAUUGUCAGAUUUUAAAAUCAUUUGGCACAUUUGUUCACCAUCAUUGGACGGUGUGUCGCGCGAAAUAAUUACGUCGAUAUCUCCAAGGUCAAGGUCACACUUUGAGUUCAAAGGUCAAAAAUGGCCAUAAAUGAGCUAGUCCUGGCCAUAACUAUGUCAUUCAUUGUGAGAUUUUAAAAUCAUUUGGCACAUUUGUUCACCAUCAUGGGACGGUGUGUCGCACGAAAGAAUCACGUCAAUAUCUCAAAUGUCAAGGUCGCCACGACUAAAAAUAGAUUU
This is a long non-coding RNA of Dreissena polymorpha, 397 nucleotides long. RefSeq lists it as uncharacterized. The record is from RefSeq and is a predicted model, not a curated record. The transcript has 2 exons. NCBI's taxonomy places the organism in Eukaryota, Metazoa, Mollusca, Bivalvia, Myida, Dreissenidae.